This 498-nucleotide ribosomal RNA is filed under the name uncultured bacterium. RNAcentral describes it as "bacterial SSU rRNA". It matches the Rfam family "Bacterial small subunit ribosomal RNA", at positions 8 to 526 of the family's 1533-position model. The record is from RNAcentral.
AGAGUUUGAUCCUGGCUCAGGACGAACGCUGGCGGCGUGCUUAACACAUGCAAGUCGAGCGGUAAGGCCCCUUCGGGGGUACACGAGCGGCGAACGGGUGAGUAACACGUGAGCAACCUACCCUCAACUUUGGGAUAAGCCUCGGAAACGGGGUCUAAUACCGGAUAAUACUGACCGUCUCAUGGUGGUUGGUUGAAAGUUCUGGCGGUUGGGGAUGGGCUCGCGGCCUAUCAGCUUGUUGGUGGGGUAAUGGCCUACCAAGGCGUCGACGGGUAGCCGGCCUGAGAGGGCGACCGGCCACACUGGGACUGAGACACGGCCCAGACUCCUACGGGAGGCAGCAGUAAGGAAUAUUGCGCAAUGGGCGAAAGCCUGACGCAGCGACGCCGCGUGGGGGAUGAAGGCCUUCGGGUUGUAAACUCCUUUUGCGGGGGACGACAUCGACUGUACCCCGCGAAUAAGGCUCGGCUAACUCUGUGCCAGCCGCCGCGGUAAUAC